ACCUCAUGUCCAUUGGCACUCUCCUGGCUUACUCGUUGGUGGCUGCCUGUGUGUUGGUCUUACGGUAUCAGCCAGAGCAGCCUAACCUGGUAUACCAGAUGGCCAGUACUUCUGACGAGUUAGAUCCAGCAGACCAAAAUGAAUUGGCAAGCACCAAUGAUUCCCAGCUGGGCUUUUUACCAGAGGCAGAGAUGUUCUCUUUGAAAACCAUACUCUCACCCAAAAACAUGGAGCCUUCCAAAAUCUCUGGGCUAAUUGUGAACAUUUCAACCAGCCUCAUAGCUGUUCUCAUCAUCACCUUCUGCAUUGUGACCGUGCUUGGAAGGGAGGCUCUCACCAAAGGGGCGCUGUGGGCAGUCUUUCUGCUCACAGGGUCUGCCCUCCUCUGUGCCGUGGUCACGGGCGUCAUCUGGAGGCAGCCCGAGAGCAAGACCAAGCUCUCAUUUAAGGUGAGCAGCUCGGCCUAGGGAAGGAACCCUGGUACACAGACCCUGGCCCUCCUGAUGCCUGGCCAGCCCUGCGUGGGCUCAGCCGGGCCUGGGUGCUCCCGAGGAAGGUUUUUGCUAGCCAGCUUCAGGUAAGAUGGGGCAGGGGUCCUGAAGGCACAGAGAGGACCAGACCCUGGAAGGAGGCAGCAGCCCUUCUCCCCUGGACGUUUCCCUGAGUAGUCAAGGGCAGGCUGACACCUUCCUGCAUGACACAGGCCAAGGGAGACCUCGCCAGUCC
RNAcentral lists this small RNA (726 nucleotides) under Pan troglodytes (chimpanzee). Its description in RNAcentral is "processed transcript". The record is from RNAcentral. Lineage: Eukaryota; Metazoa; Chordata; Mammalia; Primates; Hominidae.